This 250-nucleotide ribosomal RNA is filed under the name uncultured bacterium. Its description in RNAcentral is "partial 16S ribosomal RNA". It matches the Rfam family "Bacterial small subunit ribosomal RNA", at positions 505 to 754 of the family's 1533-position model. The record is from RNAcentral.
GUGCCAGCCGCCGCGGUAACACGUAAGGGGCGAGCGUUGUUCGGAAUUAUUGGGCGUAAAGGGCGUGUAGGCGGUUUUGCAAGCCUGGUGUUAAAUAUCACAGCUUAACUGUGGAGGAGCACUGGGAACUGCAGGACUGGAGUCUAGGAGGGGAAGCUGGAAUUCCAGGUGUAGGGGUGAAAUCUGUAGAUAUCUGGAAGAACACCGGUGGCGAAGGCGAGCUUCUGGCCAUAGACUGACGCUGAGGCGC